This 593-nucleotide ribosomal RNA is filed under the name Fusarium sp. VSMU-T301. RNAcentral describes it as "eukaryotic LSU rRNA". It matches the Rfam family "Eukaryotic large subunit ribosomal RNA", at positions 1 to 602 of the family's 3401-position model. Lineage: Eukaryota; Fungi; Ascomycota; Sordariomycetes; Hypocreales; Nectriaceae. The record is from RNAcentral.
UUGACCUCGAAUCAGGUAGGAAUACCCGCUGAACUUAAGCAUAUCAAUAAGCGGAGGAAAAGAAACCAACAGGGAUUGCCCCAGUAACGGCGAGUGAAGCGGCAACAGCUCAAAUUUGAAAUCUGGCUCUCGGGCCCGAGUUGUAAUUUGUAGAGGAUGCUUUUGGUGAGGUGCCUUCCGAGUUCCCUGGAACGGGACGCCAUAGAGGGUGAGAGCCCCGUCUGGUUGGACACCGAUCCUCUGUAAAGCUCCUUCGACGAGUCGAGUAGUUUGGGAAUGCUGCUCUAAAUGGGAGGUAUAUGUCUUCUAAAGCUAAAUACCGGCCAGAGACCGAUAGCGCACAAGUAGAGUGAUCGAAAGAUGAAAAGAACUUUGAAAAGAGAGUUAAAAAGUACGUGAAAUUGUUGAAAGGGAAGCGCUUGUGACCAGACUUGGGCUUGGUUGAUCAUCCGGGGUUCUCCCCGGUGCACUCUUCCGGCUCAGGCCAGCAUCAGUUCGCCCUGGGGGGAUAAAGGCUUCGGGAAUGUGGCUCUCUCCGGGGGAGUGUUAUAGCCCGCUGCGUAAUACCCUGUGGCGGACUGAGGUUCGCGCAU